CUGACAUGUGUGCGAGUCAACGGGUGAGUAAACCCGUAAGGCGCAAGGAAGCUGAUUGGCUGGAUCCCUCACGGGUGCACAGCCGACCGACCUUGAUCUUCUGAGAAGGGUUCGAGUGUGAGCAUGCCUGUCGGGACCCAAAAGAUGGUGAACUAUGCCGGAGCGGGGCGAAGCCAGAGGAAACUCUGGUGGAGGCCCGUAGCGAUACUGACGUACAAAUUGUUCGUCUGACUUGGGUAUAGGGGCAAAAAAGUUAUCAUAUUCCCAAACAGG
Brassica rapa (field mustard) is the source of this 273-nucleotide non-coding RNA. The record is from Rfam. Lineage: Eukaryota; Viridiplantae; Streptophyta; Magnoliopsida; Brassicales; Brassicaceae.